This 468-nucleotide ribosomal RNA is filed under the name uncultured bacterium. RNAcentral describes it as "partial 16S ribosomal RNA". It matches the Rfam family "Bacterial small subunit ribosomal RNA", at positions 28 to 507 of the family's 1533-position model. The record is from RNAcentral.
GACGAACGCUGGCGGCGUGCUUAACACAUGCAAGUCGAACGGAAAGGCCCUGCUUUUGUGGGGUGCUCGAGUGGCGAACGGGUGAGUAACACGUGAGUAACCUGCCCUUGACUUUGGGAUAACUUCAGGAAACUGGGGCUAAUACCGGAUAGGAGCUCCUGCUGCAUGGUGGGGGUUGGAAAGUUUCGGCGGUUGGGGAUGGACUCGCGGCUUAUCCGCUUGUUGGUGGGGUAGUGGCUUACCAAGGCUUUGACGGGUAGCCGGCCUGAGAGGGUGACCGGCCACAUGGGGACUGAGAGACGGCCCAGACUCCUACGGGAGGCAGCAGUGGGGAAUAUUGCACAAUGGGCGGAAGCCUGAUGCAGCAACGCCGCGUGCGGGAUGACGGCCUUCGGGUUGUAAACCGCUUUCGCCUGUGACGAAGCGUGAGUGACGGUAAUGGGUAAAGAAGCACCGGCUAACUACGUG